This 273-nucleotide ribosomal RNA is filed under the name uncultured bacterium. Its description in RNAcentral is "partial 16S ribosomal RNA". It matches the Rfam family "Bacterial small subunit ribosomal RNA", at positions 524 to 796 of the family's 1533-position model. The record is from RNAcentral.
UACGUAGGGUGCGAGCGUUAAUCGGAAUUACUGGGCGUAAAGCGUGCGCAGGCGGUUUGCUAAGACCGAUGUGAAAUCCCCGGGCUCAACCUGGGAACUGCAUUGGUGACUGGCAGGCUAGAGUAUGGCAGAGGGGGGUAGAAUUCCACGUGUAGCAGUGAAAUGCGUAGAGAUGUGGAGGAAUACCGAUGGCGAAGGCAGCCCCCUGGGCCAAUACUGACGCUCAUGCACGAAAGCGUGGGGAGCAAACAGGAUUAGAUACCCCGGUAGUCC